Molecule: ribosomal RNA, 1507 nt
Filed under: Plasmodium sp.
Lineage: Eukaryota; Apicomplexa; Aconoidasida; Haemosporida; Plasmodiidae
Description: SSU rRNA
Rfam family: Eukaryotic small subunit ribosomal RNA
Source: RNAcentral
AGCUAAUACUUGCUUUAAUGCUCCCGACGUGUUACGUCUUGUGAGCAUGUACUUGUUAAGCCUUUAUAAGAAAAAAGUUAAUAACUUAAGGAAUGAUAACAAAGAAGUGACACAUAAAAAGGGCUCGUCCCAUUUUCUAGUGUGUAUCAAUCGAGUUUCUGACCUAUCAGCUUUUGAUGUUAGGGUAUUGGCCUAACAUGGCUAUGACGGGUAACGGGGAAUUAGAGUUCGAUUCCGGAGAGGGAGCCUGAGAAAUAGCUACCACAUCUAAGGAAGGCAGCAGGCGCGUAAAUUACCCAAUUCUAAAGAAGAGAGGUAGUGACAAGAAAUAACAAUACAAGGCCAAUCUGGCUUUGUAAUUGGAAUGAUGGGAAUUUAAAACCUUCCCAAAACUCAAUUGGAGGGCAAGUCUGGUGCCAGCAGCCGCGGUAAUUCCAGCUCCAAUAGCGUAUAUUGAAAUUGUUGCAGUUAAAACGCUCGUAGUUGAAUUUCAAAGAAUCGAUAUUUUAAGUAGCACUUUGUAGAUUAAUCCACAUAACUGAUACUACGUAUCGACUUUGUGCGCAUUUUUCUACUUAUGUGUUCUUUUAAUUAAAAUGAUUCUUUUUAAGAUCUUUCUUUUUUGCUUCGGCAUUUUAGGAGAUCUUGUUACUUUGAGUAAAUUAGAGUGUUCAAAGCAAACAGAUUAUAGCAUCUUUAUGCGUUUGAAUACUACAGCAUGGAAUAACAAAAUUGAACAAGUCAGAAUUUUGUUCUUUUUUCUUAUUUUGGCUUAGUUACGAUUAAUAGGAGUAGCUUGGGGGCAUUUGUAUUCAGAUGUCAGAGGUGAAAUUCUUAGAUUUUCUGGAGACAAACAACUGCGAAAGCAUUUGCCUAAAAUACUUCCAUUAAUCAAGAACGAAAGUUAAGGGAGUGAAGACGAUCAGAUACCGUCGUAAUCUUAACCAUAAACUAUGCCGACUAGGCUUUGGAUGAAAGAUUUUAAAAUAAGAGUUUUUUCUCUGAGGAGUUAAAACUCUUAGAUUGCUUCCUUCAGUGCCUUAUGAGAAAUCAAAGUCUUUGGGUUCUGGGGCGAGUAUUCGCGCAAGCGAGAAAGUUAAAAGAAUUGACGGAAGGGCACCACCAGGCGUGGAGCUUGCGGCUUAAUUUGACUCAACACGGGAAAACUCACUAGUUUAAGACAAGAGUAGGAUUGACAGAUUAAUAGCUCUUUCUUGAUUUCUUGGAUGGUGAUGCAUGGCCGUUUUUAGUUCGUGAAUAUGAUUUGUCUGGUUAAUUCCGAUAACGAACGAGAUCUUAACCUGCUAAUUAGCGGCAAAUACGAUAUAUUCUUAUGUGGAAUUGAAUAUAGUUGAUUUGCUUAUUCUGAAGAAAAUAUUGGGAUACGUAAAUGUAUCCCUUUCCCUUUUCUACUUAAUUUGCCUAUCAUACUAUUUCUUUUUUGCGUAAGAAUGUAUUUGCUUGAUUGUAAAGCUUCUUAGAGGAACGAUGUGUGUCUAACCCAAGG